AAAUGCAUUAUCAUUUAAUAGGAUCGUGUGAAGAAAAGAGCAAACAGCUUUACAUUAAUGACAGCAGGGAAGGAAUCGUGACAGCAACACUGAAUUGGAUUUUUACUGGGAUGAGUUUUUGUUUUGUAGAUAAGGAGAACCACCAAUUUGACUGGGACAACACCAAAAUCCUGGGACAAGCUAAGCAGAGACAGGCACGGGAAUUCCCAGAAGCCUAGCACUCCAUGAGGAUAAUCUGCCAAUGCUGAAGACUCUUUCAAGUCAGAAAUGGGCCGGGUUAGGAGAUUGGGUACAACAGGGCCAUUUCUCUCUCCGAAGCUCGCAGGCAAGACCAUGAGAACAGAGCUGGCCUAGAAUUGUGAAGUCAUCAUUAACCCUUAUCAUGCAAGUUGUGAGCUUUUCUCUCGCACUGACCAACAGGCUGUUAAAUGAGGGAAGGAAAUCUGCCCAACCUUACCUGAACUGGCCUGCAUGCGACUCAAAAGCACAGCAACGUGGUGGCCUCUUUAUCUGGGAUGGACAAUGAAUACUAGUCUGACCAGUCAUGACCCCAUCUUGCGAAUUUUUUUUAAUAAUCCGACAUGGACCUUUACCCUAUCAAAUGGAGCUGUUUGCUCAAAUCUCUGUGCAAAUUCUUCACUUGUACAAUGCAAAACUAAUGCAACUAGAUGCGAUUAUAGCCAUAUCCACAUAUCUUCUUGGCUUUGCAUAUUUAUUUACCUUGAUCCUCCUAAAUUUGCAAUGUUCUUUGCUCUGUGAAGCAUUUCAUAUUCAAACAACGCUCCCUGGCCCACAUUAAACAAUUUCUCCUAACCUCUUUCACUCUCUUACAAAUAAUCUCUUCCUAUUCACUCCACCAAAAGCCAAAUAAUCUUUUCUUUAAACUCUAUUAAAUCUCCUCUUAAUCCCCUCUUCUCCAGUGCAAAUGAUUCCAGUAUCAGAAGUCUAUUCGGACAAAUCAGGUAUAAAUUAUCUUUCUCAACUCUACUUCAACAAUGUAUGAAACCGUAUAGUCGCAAAGCCGCAGCAGAUGAGUGGCAACAUAUUUCUCUUGCAAUUUCCACACCACUAAUCCUUAUGACUGACAUUUCCAAGCUACUGUGAUAAAACAGAGCUAUGUCCAGAAGUUAAAAAACAGUCAGUGAAAAUAAACCCUUACACCCAUCUCAACGAUUCAAAGUAUAGCACGAUACUCACAAUAUCCUCCAAGUCUGUCCCAUAUAUUAUUCAUGACUUUCCCACACUCCUCCCUAAUUUUCAAUUUAGUUUUUGAUUUUAGUUAAUUUUUCAUUCUGUAUCAUUGAAAAUACCACCAUUCUACAGAAUUCUUUUCAUCUUCAAUUCUCAUCACACUCUCGCACAGGAACAACAUGCAAGUCCGCAUGGAAAUAUUACUGUCCGUUUGAAAGAUAAAUAACGGCAGAUAAAUUUUUGAUAUCCAAGGUAUUACCAGCAAUUUCAUCAAUAUUUCGGUCAUUGCUUGAUCAGGAUGUGUCACAGCAAAUAAAAAAGUUAAAAAAUGAGAAGCUUUCUUCUGCAGGACAUGAUUUGUGUUCUCAAUAUUUGUGAUGCUCCAAUAGUAAUUCUCAAAGUAUUGACGUUGAAGCUUUCAAAUAAUCCAUCAGUUAGAGGAUCCUUAAUAGCUUGUCACACUGCUAUAGUCGAUAGUUUAGCCACAAGAAAAUUGGUACUGGAACCUACAGAAAAGUCUUCAGAUUACCAAAGAGAUAGAUGGUAUCCUGUAACAGUGAAUAAGAAGACAGUUGCUUGAACAGUGCCAACCACAGUGUACUGAGUAUGGUGACCACAAUGGCUGUAAAGCCAAUUUGUUUCAUCAACUGCUUCCAUCUUAGAAGCCGGAGGUGCUCUUUCAUGCUUUAUGGAAAGAGUAUGGUCAAACAGUUUAAUUAAUUUAUAAAAACCAAAAGAACUGAGGAUGCUGUAAAUUGGGAACAAAAACAAAGUUGCUGGUCUAACAGCAUCUGUGGAGGAGAAAACAGAGUUAACGUUUCAGGUCCGGUGACCCUUCCUCAGAACUGAUGGUGGCUGAGAAAACUUCAGUUUAUAUGCAGAAAACAGGGAAGUGGGUGGGGCAGGGAGUAAACGAUAGGAUAGAGUCCAAAGAGAGAGAAAGACAGUUGGACAGGCAAAGGAGUUGUUCAUGAUCAGGCGGGGAGGGUGAAUAGUUGUUCAUGGGGACUGUUAGUGACUAACAACAGGGGGUGUGAAACGGCAGCCUACGUAGUAACAAGGCCUGGCAUUUGGGGUGGGGGGCUAGGACAUGGGGAGUUCGGGCGCUAAAAUUAUUGAACUCAAAACUGAUCCAGAGGGCUGUAGGGUCCCCAAGCGGAAAACAAGGUGCUGAGCUUCACUGGAACACUGUAGCAAGGCGGAGACAGAGAUGUUGGCCAGGGAGCAAGGUGGUGCAUUGAAGUGGCAGGCAACAGAUAGUUCAGGGUCUUUUUUGCGAGCAGAACGUAGAUGUGCUGCAAAGUGGUCGCCAAGUCUACGCUUUGUUUCCCCAAUGUACAGGACACCACACUGUGAGCUGCGAAUGCAGUAGAUUAGAUUCUUGGAAGUGCAGGUGCGGUGUUGCUUCACCUGGAAGGUACGUUUGGGCUCUUGGAUACUGGGGAGGGAGGAAGUGAAUAGGCAGGUGUUGCACCUUUGCUGGUUACAGGGGAAGGUGCCAUAGGGCUGUAGGGAGGUGUUGGAGGUGAAGAAAGUGCGGACCAGGGUGUCCCAGAGGGAACAGUCCCUAUGUAAGGUGGGCAAGGGAGGGGAGGUGGAGGUGGCGGAAAUGGCGUUUGAUGAUCUUCUGGUCGUGGAUGCUGGUGGGUUGAUAGGUGAGGAUAAGGGGAACCCUAUCGCUGUUAGAGGAGGGAACAGAAGGGGUGUGGGCAAUAGUGUGGGGGAUGGAUUGGACCCCAUUGAGGACCCUGUCAACAACGGAGCUGGGGAAUCCUCAGUUGAGGAAGAGUGUGGACAUUUCGGAGGCUCCCUUGUCGAAGUUGGCCUCAUCUGAACAUAUGCAACGGAGAUGGAGGAGCGGAGAGAAUGGGAUGGAGUCUUCACAGGAACUGGGAUGUCAGGAUGUACAGUCCAGGCAGCUGUGGGAGUUGUUGGGUUUGUAGUGGAUAUUAGUGACCAGUCUAGCCCCAGAAACAGAAACAGAAAUGUCAAGGAAGGAAAGGAGUCUGAGAUAGACCAGGUGAAAGUGAGGCCAGGGUGGAAAUCGGAGGCAAAAUUGAUGAAGUUUUCCAAUUCUAGACGAGAGAGGGAAGCAGCACCGAUGAUUUCAUCAAUGUAUCGGAGAAAGAGUAGUGGGUGGGGGCCGGAAUAGGACUGGAGAAAGGAAUGUUCCAUGGACCCCAUGAAGAGACAGACAGGCAUAACUAGGACCAUUGUGGGUACCCAUGGCAACCUCUCUUACCUGAAGAAAAUGACAGGAGUUGAGAGAAAAGUUGUUGAGGGUGAGGACAAGCUCAGCCAAGUGGAGGAGAGUGGUGGUGGGUGGGGAUGGUUCAGGUCUUUGCUCCAGGAAGAAGCGGAGGCCCUAAGACCCUCCUGGUGGGGAACAGAUGUGUAAAGGGAUUGCACGUCCAUGGUAAAGAGGGGGUGGCUGGAGCCGGUAAACUGGAAGCUUUGAAGCCGGCAUAUGAUGUCAGAUGAAUCAUAGGUGUAUGUGGGUAGGAAUUGGAAAUAGUCGAAACAGUCCUGGCUUUAAUCAAUAGGAUCUCAAGAUCGUAGGAUAUACGCUAUCAUGUUUAAAUCAUUAUGUUUAUGUUAUCAUAUUUAUUUAAUAACCUAUAUUUUUAUACGUACUGUGAUAAAGGUUUAUAACAUUAUCACCAUUUGGGAUUUUCUUUAUCAAUUUUGAUAAUCAAUUUUGGUUUCAGUUCUAUGAAAGUGGCUCACUUUUUAUAAACGAGAUCAAAUAGUCAUUUGGAACAGUAAACUAACGACAUCAUGUUUAAGAAAGGCUGUGAUUAAAGUUAAAAUACUUCGUUAGACGCAUGGAGCAUUAAUUAUAAAAAGUUUAUAAUGCUGAGUUUUAUGACCUACACAGAAUCAGAUGAUCCAAGGCCAGAGUCAGGGUUUUGUUGAGAACAAAAAUUGCAAUUCGUUGCAGAUUAUUCUGUAGACAUUGCCAGGACUGUGAAUUUCCAGAAAAUUGUUGAAGCUCCAAGUUUCAAAAACUAAAAAGAAUUCCAGGCUUUCAAGACUGGAUAGAGGUUUCUAGUUCUCAGAACUAGACAGAAGUCUCUAGGCCAUCAAAACUGGAUAAAAUCAGGCAAACAAGUUCGUUGGGAUUGAAAUUUGUUGCUGGAGAAUGGCUUGAUUAUUUGUUUUUGCUGUUUAUGUUAGAUCUUUCAAAAUACUUUAUGUAUAGUAUAUAGUUUUGCUUUUUUUCCCCCUCUCUUUUGUCUAAAAA
Molecule: long non-coding RNA, 4435 nt
Organism: Stegostoma tigrinum
Lineage: Eukaryota; Metazoa; Chordata; Chondrichthyes; Orectolobiformes; Stegostomatidae
Exons: 4
Source: RefSeq, a predicted model, not a curated record